AAAAAAUUACCGGGUCCUACGGGCCACGCAACUUUUUUAUUAAAAACAGUGUCUGUGUGCAUCAAAACGAACGCAUGUGUAAAAAUUUAUGUAAUUUUUGCUUUUUUUAGUUUAAAAAAGCUGUGUCCAAAUAUGGUACACGUGGCACCUGAUUGUACAGGUUUUAUUUUUUGAUGUCGUGUGCCAUGUGUACCUUAUCUGGAGUCUGGACACGUACAAGGUCAAUGUUGAUUCGCCUGGAGAGAUGGCAGCAGUUGUACGGUUUUCACUAGAAGCGCAAAUACCACGUGCAUUUUAUGCUGUCAUUUGGAGGAGCAAUGGCGGCAAAGGAAAGAAUUAUUUCUGAUACUGAGAUGCAACAAGCAGUGGAGGCUGCAGCAGAAGAAAUAGAGAUUUAUAGAGACCUCGACAUGAGUGACGAGUUUUCAAAUAUCUCAGAUUCUGAUUUGGAUCCGACAUAUUUGGCCGGCCAGAUAUCUUCAAGCAGUUCUGAAGAAGACCGCCCUAAAAAGAAAAAGAUGAAGUAUGUACGUCAGUUAGAUACUUCCGAGCCUUCAACAUCUGCUCAGUUAGAUAUAGACAUAGAUUCUUCAGGCAAUGAUGAAAGACUGGAGUGGAGACCAGCUUCAGGAAAUUUUUCGACAUUCACUCUACCAAUGAAUAUUGGAAUUUCACUAGCCUUGCAGACCCAAAUGCGCGAUAAGGAUGAACUUCAUUUUUUUGAAUUAUUUGUAUCCGACGAUGUUAUUAAUAAGAUCGUUGUCAAAACAAAUAGAUACGUGGAACAGCAAAUUAUUCUUGCCAUAACUAAUGAAAAUAUUGCCCAAUAUUCUCGCCUAAAUGCAUGGGUGGAUACUAAUUAUAACGAAAUACGAACAUUUAUUGCUAUUUUAAUUUGGAUGGGAUUGGAUAAAAAACCAUCACUAAAAGAUUAUUGGCGCAAACAUCCAUUAAAAAAAAUGAAAUAUCAAAAUAUUUGCGGAAUAGAUUUGAGCUGCUUUUGCGUAUGUUUCAUUUGGCAAAUAAUGAAAAUUGUCCUCCCAAUGACCGGCUUCAUAAAAUUCAAUGCCUUGUUGAUAUGCUGAACAAGAAUGCUUCUUUCUGCAUUAUUCCAGAAGAGUCUCUUUGCAUCGAUGAAACCAUGAUACCUUUCCGAGGUAAAUUAUCCUUUCGACAGUAUAUAAAAGAAAACGACAUAAGUUCGGCAGUUUAUAAAGUAUGUCUAGAUGAAGGAUUUACUUACAGCCUGAAAGUAUAUUGUGGUAAAGAGAAAAUAAAUGGACAGUCGGUUGCGGAAUCUAUUGUUAUGGAAAUGUUGCAACCAUUGCUUGAUAGUGGCCGGACCCUUUUUGCAGACAAUUGGUACACCUCUAUUCCUCUUGCGGAAAACUUGCAAAAUAGAUCAACAUUCUCAUUCGUAAAUGCCUUAAAUCUGUACAACAAAAUUAACGAGAAAAAAAUUUCAAUAACGACUUUCAAAAAAAUCAACUUUUGGAAACGGCAGUACCGCCAAUCCCAAUGAAUCCCUCAAAAGAGCACAAAGUUUCCGAAAAGACAGAUAACGAGAAAAAGCUAAAAAGAGGCAGGUGCAGAUAUUGCUACCAAAAAAACUCACAAGAACAGGGGCGUAAUUAUGUUGUAAAAAAUACCAAAAGUUUCCUACGUAUGUCUAGGCUGUGACGAAAAUAUUUUUAUUUGUAUGGACUGUUUUUUCCAAAAACAUGUUUUUAAAAAUAUAAAAUAAUCUUUUCAUUUUGAAGUACUUAUUUUGUUUUUAAAAUUAGUUUGUUUAUUUUAUAAUUAUAAAUAACAAUUUUAUAUGUUAAAUUACUGCCCAUUGAAAAAAUAAACGUAUCAUUUAAAAACGUCAA
This 1871-nucleotide long non-coding RNA is filed under the name Anthonomus grandis grandis. RNAcentral's name for it is "uncharacterized LOC126748237". Lineage: Eukaryota; Metazoa; Arthropoda; Insecta; Coleoptera; Curculionidae. The record is from RNAcentral.